CGAGGAAUUUUAGGUAGACUGAUGAGCCAACUGCAGGGGAGAAUAUGGGAAGAGCUUAGCGCAGCUCCUUAAGCUACGGAAGCUGAUUAAAUUCUGAACGCUAGGGGGAGCAGGUGACAGGUGUUAACCAGAGACCCGGCCCACAGAGACAAGGAAUGCGGUAAGUAAAACCUGGUGAUGGAGGUGGGCCCUGCGGAGCAGCAGCAGGGCUUAGCUGCUGCCUGCCUUGCCAGCAUCCCACAGCCACUUCCGAUCCAGCUCCUUGUUAAGGCAACUGGCAAACAGCCCGGAAUGCCUGCGUGCUAGGGCCCGGCACCCACCUGGGAGCUCUGGAUGGAGUUCUGGGAUCCCGGCUUUGUCCUGGCCUAGAUCUAGUCAUUGAGGCCACAUGAAGAGGGAACCUGCGAAUGGAAGAUCUUUCUCUCUGGUGCUCUCUCUUCCCUGAACUCCCAGGCUCAAAGGUUUAUGAUUUGUUCCACAAAUACUGAGAAAUUACAAAGUGCCAGCCACAAUUCUAAUCCUUGCUAUUCUAUUCUAAGUGAUCUACAAGUGCGUUGUGUUUUCUGUCUCCUGCAGUGGGUCCUAAACACGGAUUUCCAGUACAGAGCACAGAACGAGUCAGUUGACAGCUAGCGGGAGAUGGAGUCACACUUGCUGAGCACCUACUGUGUGUCAAUUCUGCAUUCACUACUACGCCCAUCAAGACACAAACACAGAAAAGCCUUCUAAGAGGGGACAAGGGGCCGAGCACCCAGGAACCCACUUCCUGCCGCCUCUGCUGCCUGUGUUUGUCUUCAUGCAGCUGGAGAACUUGACUCUGGACACACUCCCAUGUCAGCCUGACCAGGAGGAGAUGCAGAGGAUGAGAGGUGUGGAACGAGCACGCUACAAAAGCAGAGAAGGCUUUUCCCAUGAAGACCACAGCAGCCAAGAGUCCUGGCUUAGUACAGCUCAGGGCUUCCAGGCUCAGAUUUGGGGACAAAAAUCCUUAUGGCAGGUUCAUCUGUGAAAGCCAACAGGGUGACUGCAGGUGGUACAGGACAUCAGUGGGGGAACAGAUCGGGGGGGUACUAUGGACUGAUUGCGUCCUCCCCAAAUUCAUGCAUUGAAUCUCUACCUUCCAACAUGAUGGCAUUUGGACCUGGGACUUGAGGAGCGACUGAGUGUAGAUAAAGUCACCAAAGGGUGUUCCCUCCCUGCUGCUCUCUCUGCCCCCGUGAGGACCCAGAGAAGGCAGCCAUGUGCUAACCAGAAAAAGACCUUUCACCAGAACCCAACCAUGCUGGCGCCCCGAUCUUGAAUGCCCAGCCUGCAGGCCUUUGGGAAAUUUCUGUUGUUUAGUCCGCCCAGUCUGUAACACUUGGCCAUAGCAGCCUGAGCACAUUGAGACAGUGCACAGUCGUGACUGCAAGGGCUCUGCGACCUCUCAGGAACACCUCUCAUUGCUCUUGCCGUCACCUCUGACCUCUUUUCACCUUGCUUGUCUCCACACUCCCUCUGAAAUGAGAUGCUCUGGCAUCUGGAAGGGAGAUCUCAAUGGAAAAAAAAAAAAAAGACGAACCACCUGGCUGGACUAGAAUAUCGCCUCCAGAGUGACCACUAACCCAGGGAGUGCCCUUGGGAGAAGAAGCAUGCUCGCCUGCCCACUGUGGUCUGACACAGCCCUGAACCUGUGGCAGGACACCUGGAGCCUGGGCUGAUUUCCAGUCCUCCUGGCCCAGCACCUUGGCCCUCCUGGCCCGGCGUGGAGUGUAUUACCAACAAACGUGGAAGCUCCAUGUCUUCACAAAGCACUUAGUGUGUGGUGUGCUGGUUGUCUUUUUUUUUAGCAUCUUCUAUCCUGCACAUUUCAACUGAUCCCAUAAAUAAUUGCCACAAACUCAGUGGUUGUGGGUUGAUGACAGAUUAUUCCCAAAUUUCCUCGCCUCCAAACUUCAUGGAAGACAGAGCCACAAAAGAUUGGACCAGAUGCCUGAGGACAGUGAGUCAGGGUGAGUGAGGGGAGGUUGAGGGCAGGAGACCCUGGGUAGAAGGAGCCUCGUCCUCCUCGAGAGGGGACUCCUGGGCUGGUCAGGGUGUUUCUCCUCCUCCUGGCUUCCCAGGGCUCCUGAGCCCACCUUCCCCGACAUCCACCUGUCUCUCUGCCUUCCCCUCUACCUGUAGAACCACUUGAGCACAACAGAUGGGGCUGCAGAAGAACCACCAGGCAGCCUGAUUUGAAAAGAUGGCCUAGGCAGAGAAUUUCCCUUUCUAUACCCCGCCCCAACCCCUGGCCUUCUACCUGAAACUCCCUGCUUUUUGGACCACUAAAGGAUCAGACCCAGCUACCUGUGAUGGUCCACACACAGUGAUGGGGAACUGUCCCUUGUGAAGAGACUCAAGGCUCAGGCUAAGUCAACUGCCUUUGAGUAUUCCCCCCAGGGAAAGCGUGCCAGAUCCAUGCCACUCAUCCGGAGAGACAGCAGCUCCUCUUCAAUGAGCUGAUCAGAAGGGCAGAGGGGCCACUGGGCCUUGCGCUUGCUGCAUCUAAGUGGUUAGAGAGCUGGUCAUGGUCACUGGGAGACAGAACAGCUUCCCGCCCAGAGAGAAAGAGCAUCAGGUGCCCCACCAUGAGCUGGGAUUACAAGUGAGAGCCCAAAAGUCCUUACACAGCACGGAAGCCAGACUGAGUUCCAGUCGUGGCUACUGUACUCACCAGCCCUUGGCAUGUCAUUGUUACUAAAUGCCUUUGGUUCUUUGGCUUCUCAGCUCUACAGAAAACCCCCGAAGUCCAAGGGUUCUGCACCUGCUGAUUCAACCAAUGUCAGAAAAUACUGGAGAAACAAUUGUGUCUAUCCUGAAUGUGUAGACUUUUUCCUUGUCAUUAUUUUCCUAAACACUACAGUCUACCAACUAUUUACAUAGCAUUCUCCAGGCAUUGCCUAAUGUGCCAGGAGAGCCAACUGCCAUGGGUCGAGAACCACUUACCUCACCUACCAUACGAAUUCCAACAUUAUCAGUAGAGCCCGGUUGCCCUUGAUAGCAGGCAGCUUGUGUGCUUUGCCUUCCAGGACAGAGUUUAGUCUACCUAGGGUCAGGUAAUAAAUUUAAGUCAUGGUAUCUCUUUUGUCUCCUUGAAGUUGGACUAUUUCCUCAGCUUUUCUUUUUUAAAUAUAUUUAUUUACUUGAAAAGCAGAGAGAGAGAGAGAGAGAGAGAGAGAGGUCUUCCAUCUGCUGGUUCACUCCCCAAAUGGCCACAAAGGCCAGGACUGUACCAGGCUGAAGCCAGGAGCCAGGAGCUUCUUCUGCAUCUCCCACGUGGAUGCUGGGGCCCAAGCAAUUGGGCCAUCUUCUGCUGCUUUCCUAGGCACAUUGGCAGGGAGCUGGAUUGGAAGUGAAUCAGCCAGGACUCAAAUUGGCAUCCAUAUGGGAUGCUGGCCUUGCAGGAGGUGGCUUAACCCAUAAAGCAUAAUGCCAGCCUCAGCUUUUGUGGUUUUAGUGUCUUUUUUAACCCAGGAAGGAGCCAUUAGUCAUGUGUGUGUCUUAUCUCCCCUCCUCUCUGCUUCCACUCAUAUACUGAUGUAGGAAGCAUAAUAAGACAUCAAAAAAAAUUUGUUGACAAAUAAAAUCCAACAUACACUUCCCCUGAGCACAGUACUGGGUAGUCCCAUGCCGUAACCCUUCUAAGAACUCUGUGAGUAGUUACGCCCAGCCCAGCUCCAUUUUACAGGUCAGGAAACUGAGAAACAUUCUGCCAUGGGCGUGCCUGGGGGUUCAGUUGUCUGCCCCCAAAAUUCGUAUGUUGCAGUCCUAACUCUCAGAAUCUUCUAAUAUAAUC
Non-coding RNA from Oryctolagus cuniculus (rabbit), 3817 nucleotides. The record is from RefSeq and is a predicted model, not a curated record. NCBI's taxonomy places the organism in Eukaryota, Metazoa, Chordata, Mammalia, Lagomorpha, Leporidae.